AGUCACUGACAUUAGAUACCCCGUAGUCCAGGGUGUAAACGCUGCGGGCUUGGUGUUGGGGGUCCUUUGAGGGCGCCCAGUGCCGGAGAGAAGUUGUUAAGCCUGCUGCUUGGGGAGUACGUCCGCAAGGAUGGAACUUAAAGGAAUUGGCGGGGGAGCACCGCAACGGGAGGAGCGUGCGGUUCAAUUGGAUUCAACGCCGGACAACUCACCAGGAGCGACGGUUACAUGAAGGCCAGGCUGAUGACCUUGCCUGAUUUCCCG
This 264-nucleotide ribosomal RNA is filed under the name uncultured archaeon. RNAcentral describes it as "partial 16S ribosomal RNA". It matches the Rfam family "Archaeal small subunit ribosomal RNA", at positions 718 to 982 of the family's 1478-position model. The record is from RNAcentral.